GCCGCAGUAGCUCAGUGGUAGAGCGCAUCAUUGGUAAUGAUGAGGUCGCGAGUUCAAUCCUCGCCUGUGGCACCA
Molecule: transfer RNA, 75 nt
Filed under: Candidatus Phycosocius bacilliformis
Lineage: Bacteria; Pseudomonadati; Pseudomonadota; Alphaproteobacteria; Caulobacterales
Also listed under: 2 other names
Description: tRNA-Thr
Rfam family: tRNA
About the family: Transfer RNA (tRNA) molecules are approximately 80 nucleotides in length. Their secondary structure includes four short double-helical elements and three loops (D, anti-codon, and T loops).
Source: RNAcentral